This 576-nucleotide ribosomal RNA is filed under the name uncultured cyanobacterium. Its description in RNAcentral is "bacterial SSU rRNA". It matches the Rfam family "Bacterial small subunit ribosomal RNA", at positions 799 to 1376 of the family's 1533-position model. Lineage: Bacteria; Bacillati; Cyanobacteriota. The record is from RNAcentral.
GCCGUAAACGAUGAACACUAGGUGUCGGGGGAAUCGACCCCCUCGGUGUCGUAGCCAACGCGUUAAGUGUUCCGCCUGGGGAGUACGCACGCAAGUGUGAAACUCAAAGGAAUUGACGGGGGCCCGCACAAGCGGUGGAGUAUGUGGUUUAAUUCGAUGCAACGCGAAGAACCUUACCAGGGCUUGACAUCCUGCGAACCUCUGGGAAACCGGAGGGUGCCUUCGGGAACGCAGUGACAGGUGGUGCAUGGCUGUCGUCAGCUCGUGUCGUGAGAUGUUGGGUUAAGUCCCGCAACGAGCGCAACCCACGUCUUUAGUUGCCAGCAUUUAGUUGGGCACUCUAGAGAGACCGCCGGUGACAAACCGGAGGAAGGUGUGGAUGACGUCAAGUCAUCAUGCCCCUUACGUCCUGGGCUACACACGUACUACAAUGCUACGGACAAAGAGCAGCAAGUUCGCGAGGACAAGCAAAUCUCAUAAACCGUGGCUCAGUUCAGAUCGUAGGCUGCAACUCGCCUACGUGAAGGAGGAAUCGCUAGUAAUCGCAGGUCAGCAUACUGCGGUGAUACGUUCCCG